AUUACCACACAAUGGUAUGUAUUGGCCGUGUUACUACUGUACAUAUUAAAUAUGCAAAAAUCUUUCUGGUGAGCUGUAAUGAAGUCUUAUGAAAAGCUCUCCUUUAGUGAUAACUCUUAUUGGCAGUAAUGGCCUCCUGUCUUUUGGCUGCAUAAGCAAUGCUGUGUCAGGAGGCAGGUAAACAAGUUUCAUGCAUAGGUGUC
Pelobates cultripes (western spadefoot toad) is the source of this 203-nucleotide non-coding RNA. The record is from the annotation of a GenBank genome assembly. NCBI's taxonomy places the organism in Eukaryota, Metazoa, Chordata, Amphibia, Anura, Pelobatidae.